RNAcentral lists this ribosomal RNA (574 nucleotides) under Pestalotia lespedezae. RNAcentral describes it as "eukaryotic LSU rRNA". The stretch from base 192 to 345 matches the Rfam family "5.8S ribosomal RNA". The record is from RNAcentral. Lineage: Eukaryota; Fungi; Ascomycota; Sordariomycetes; Amphisphaeriales; Amphisphaeriaceae.
AGUAGGCGGAGCACUAUCAGUCCGCGGAGGAGCAUAUCAAUCAGCGGAGGAAUCAUCAAUCGGAGGAGGACCCUGCAAUGGGCGGACGGUAGCGCCUUACCCUGAAACGGCUUACCCUGUAGCGGCUGCCGGUGGACUACCAAACUCUUGUUAUUUUAUUGUAAUCUGAGCGUCUUAUUUUAAUAAGUUAAAACUUUCAACAACGGAUCUCUUGGUUCUGGCAUCGAUGAAGAACGCAGCGAAAUGCGAUAAGUAAUGUGAAUUGCAGAAUUCAGUGAAUCAUCGAAUCUUUGAACGCACAUUGCGCCCAUUAGUAUUCUAGUGGGCAUGCCUGUUCGAGCGUCAUUUCAACCCUUAAGCCUAGCUUAGUGUUGGGAGCCUACUGCUUUUGCUAGCGGUAGCUCCUGAAAUACAACGGCGGAUCUGCGAUAUCCUCUGAGCGUAGUAAUUUUUAUCUCGCUUUUGACUGGAGUUGCAGCGUCUUUAGCCGCUAAACCCCCCAAUUUUUAAUGGUUGACCUCGGAUCAGGUAGGAAUACCCGCUGAACUUAAGCAUAUCAAUAAGCCGGAGGAAA